UGAGUUGAAGCUUCAUGCUGAUCUUGGCUUCGGAAAUUGCUGAUAUCUAACAUCCCAGAACGUUCACUCUCCGGGAUAUAAGGCUGAGCCCCUUUUUCUAGUGACUGUUGAACGUAAUCAUUAAGGAAAGAGAGGUUUUUAUCAAUCUCAAUAUCUUCACAACUUGCAUCUGAUGGCAGAAUACAUUCAACGGCAUGAGCAUCCAAGCCAAUGAUUGCUUGAAGUUCAUAUACACGCUGCUGCAAGUCUGUUGAGUGGGAAGCUGAUAAUUCCUCAAUCAAAGAUUGACACUCAGGUAAAAUAUCCACUUUUCUUCCAGCAGCAAUUUCAAAAACAAAUAGUUUCAUGAGAGCUGUAACUGCAUAUGACUUAACAAUUUCAUCAUUGGAAUAUGCAUCUGCCACAUCACAUAAUUUCCCAGUAACAUAUGAAGCGGAAAACUUUCCAUCAGCAGUUCCAUAUUCCCCCAAGACCCAACAAAUGACUUGAAGAAAUAAAGAUGGAAGCUUUGGCUCUCCUAUAAUACGCAAAUAUGACUCCACAGCUGAAGAUCUCAACUGACUAUCUGCAGUAUCAUCCUCCUCCCCAAAUCCCUCAGCAAUUAAGCGCAU
Molecule: unclassified non-coding RNA, 611 nt
Filed under: Hevea brasiliensis (rubber tree)
Lineage: Eukaryota; Viridiplantae; Streptophyta; Magnoliopsida; Malpighiales; Euphorbiaceae
Source: RNAcentral